This 468-nucleotide ribosomal RNA is filed under the name uncultured bacterium. Its description in RNAcentral is "partial 16S ribosomal RNA". It matches the Rfam family "Bacterial small subunit ribosomal RNA", at positions 28 to 507 of the family's 1533-position model. The record is from RNAcentral.
GACGAACGCUGGCGGCGUGCUUAACACAUGCAAGUCGAACGGAAAGGCCCUGCUUUUGUGGGGUGCUCGAGUGGCGAACGGGUGAGUAACACGUGAGUAACCUGCCCUUGACUUUGGGAUAACUUCAGGAAACUGGGGCUAAUACCGGAUAGGAGCUCCUGCUGCAUGGGGGGGGUUGGAAAGUUUCGGCGGUUGGGGAUGGACGCGCGGCUUAUCAGCUUGUUGGUGGGGUAGUGGCUUACCACGGCUUUGACGGGUAGCCGGCCUGAGAGGGUGACCGGCCACAUUGGGACUGCGAUACGGCCCAGUCUCCUACGGGACGCAGCAGUGGGGAAUAUUGCACAAUGGGCGCACGCCUGAUGCAGCGACGCCGCGUGCGGGAUGACGGCCUUCGGGUUGUAAACCGCUUUCGCCUGUGACGAAGCGUGAGUGACGGUAAUGGGUAAAGAAGCACCGGCUAACUACGUG